Molecule: ribosomal RNA, 1506 nt
Filed under: Pyrenula infraleucotrypa
Lineage: Eukaryota; Fungi; Ascomycota; Eurotiomycetes; Pyrenulales; Pyrenulaceae
Description: LSU rRNA
Rfam family: Eukaryotic large subunit ribosomal RNA
Source: RNAcentral
AUAUCAAUAAGCGGAGGAAAAAGAAACCAACAGGGAUUGCCCCAGUAACGGCGAGUGAAGCGGCAAUAGCUCAAAUUUGAAAUCCGGUCCCCCCCUUUGGCGGGACCCGAGUUGUAAUUUAUAGAGGAUGCUUCGGAUCAGGCGACGGCCUAAGUCCCUUGGAAUAGGGCGCCAGAGAGGGUGAGAGCCCCGUCCCGGGCUACGAGCCGCGUCCAGGUGAAGCUCCCUCGACGAGUCGCGUUGUUUGGGAAUGCAGCGCUAAAUGGGUGGUAAAUUUCAUCUAAAGCUAAAUAUUGGGCAGAGACCGAUAGCGCACAAGUAGAGUGAUCGAAAGAUGAAAAGUACUUUGAAAAGAGAGUUAAAUAGUACGUGAAAUUGUUGAAAGGGAAGCGCUUGCAGCCAGACUUGGUCGGCGGUCAUUCAGCCGUUGGUCUCCAGCGGUGUACUUGAUCGUCUCCAGGCCAGCACCGGUUUGGGCAGCCAGAGAAGAGCGCCGGGAACGUGCCGUCCCUUUACUCUUACCCCUUUAUUGGGGCUAAGGGUCGGACUUAUAGCCCGGCGCAUGAUACGGCUGGCCCGGACCGAGGACCCCGCGCGGUCACGCCGUUGUCUGAUUACUUUUCUCACCCUGAGAAUACCCCCCUUUUUUAGGCGUGUGAUGUCCCGCAAGGGUGCUGGCGAAACGGCUAUAAGCGACCCGUCUUGAAACACGGACCAAGGAGUCUAACAUCUGUGCGAGUGUUCGGGUGAAGAAACCCCGGCGCGUAAUGAAAGUGAACGGAAGGUAGGAUGCCCCCUUUUAGCCGAUCGGGGGUUGCACUAUCGGCCGAUCCGGAUGACAAGCGGAUGGAUUUGAGCAAGAGCAUAGCUGUUGGGACCCGAAAGAUGGCGAACUAUGCGUGUAUAGGGUGAAGUCAGUGGAAACAUUGAUGGAGGCUCGCAGCGGUUCUGACGUGCAAAUCGAUCGUCAAAUAUGCGUAUAGGGGCGAAAGACUAAUCGAGCCGUCUGGUAGCUGGUUCCCGUCGAAGUUUCCCUCAGGAUAGCAGAAACGCAUUCAGUUUCAUGAGGUAGAGCGAAUGAUUAGAGGCCUGGGGGCUGAAACAGCCUUCACCUAUUCUCAAACUUCCAAUAUGUGAGACACCUAUGUUGCUUAAUUGAACGUGGGUACUUGAAUGAUCGCGUUUCUAGUGGGCCAUUUUUGGUAAGCAGAACUGGCGAUGCGGGAUGAACCGAACGUGAGGUUAAGGUGCCCAAAUAUACGCUCAUUAGACACCAAAAAAGGUGUUAGUUCAUCUAGACAGCCGGGCGGUGGCCAUGGAAGUCGGAAUCCGCUUAGGAAAGUGUAACAACUCACCGGCCGAAUGAACUAGCCCUGAAAAUGGAUGGCGCUCAAGCGUAUUACCCAUACCUCACCGUCAGAGUUUUAAGGAUGCUCUGACGAGUAGGCGGGCGUGGGGGUCUGUGACGAAGCUCAAGGGUGACUUUGGGUCGAACGGCCUCUAGUG